CAUGCUGCAGGCAGAAUCACCGGAUGAGCUGGGGAAAGAAACAGCCGUCAGGCGAUCACGGGCUGGUGCCAACGCUGGCAAACACUAGCCAGCCAUGUCACAGAAUCGUUACCAAAUAUCUCCUGGCUUUGGCCCACGAGGAUGGCUUCUGAUUGAUUAUUCAGCCAAAUCUGAAUUUGAGACCUUGAUGUGAGUUCUGGGCAAAUAGACUGUGUUUUGUUUAAUGCAGGAAGCAACUAUUGCUUAUUAAAUAAAACGGAAUGAUAUUUA
Peromyscus eremicus (cactus mouse) is the source of this 270-nucleotide long non-coding RNA. RefSeq lists it as uncharacterized. The transcript is spliced from 2 exons. Lineage: Eukaryota; Metazoa; Chordata; Mammalia; Rodentia; Cricetidae. The record is from RefSeq and is a predicted model, not a curated record.